AACGAACGCUGGCGGCAGGCUUAACACAUGCAAGUCGAACGCCCUCUUCGGAGGGAGUGGCAGACGGGUGAGUAACACGUGGGAACCUACCUAGGGGUACGGAAUAACUCGGGGAAACUCGUGCUAAUACCGUAUACGACCCAAGGGUGAAAGAUUUAUCGCCCCUAGAUGGGCCCGCGCUGGAUUAGCUAGUUGGUGGGGUAAAAGCCUACCAAGGCGACGAUCCAUAGCUGGUCUGAGAGGAUGAUCAGCCACACUGGGACUGAGACACGGCCCAGACUCCUACGGGAGGCAGCAGUGGGGAAUCUUGGACAAUGGGGGAAACCCUGAUCCAGCCAUGCCGCGUGAGUGAUGAAGGCCUUAGGGUUGUAAAGCUCUUUCGCCAGGGAAGAUAAUGACGGUACCUGGAUAAGAAGCCCCGGCUAACUCCGUG
RNAcentral lists this ribosomal RNA (433 nucleotides) under uncultured bacterium. RNAcentral describes it as "bacterial SSU rRNA". It matches the Rfam family "Bacterial small subunit ribosomal RNA", at positions 29 to 507 of the family's 1533-position model. The record is from RNAcentral.